AUUAAACGCUGGCGGCAUGCCUUACACAUGCAAGUCGAACGGCAGCACGGGGGCAACCCUGGUGGCGAGUGGCGGACGGGUGAGUAAAGCAUCGGAACGUAUCCUGGAGUGGGGGAUAACGUAGCGAAAGUUACGCUAAUACCGCAUAUUCUGUGAGCAGGAAAGCAGGGGAUCGCAAGACCUUGCGUUCGAGGAGCGGCCGAUGUCGGAUUAGCUAGUUGGUGGGGUAAAGGCCUACCAAGGCGACGAUCCGUAGCGGGUCUGAGAGGAUGAUCCGCCACACUGGGACUGAGACACGGCCCAGACUCCUACGGGAGGCAGCAGUGGGGAAUUUUGGACAAUGGGCGCAAGCCUGAUCCAGCCAUGCCGCGUGAGUGAAGAAGGCCUUGGUUGUAAACCUCUGUCACUGGG
Molecule: ribosomal RNA, 411 nt
Filed under: uncultured bacterium
Lineage: Bacteria
Description: bacterial SSU rRNA
Rfam family: Bacterial small subunit ribosomal RNA
Source: RNAcentral